This is a non-coding RNA of Podarcis lilfordi (Lilford's wall lizard), 78 nucleotides long. The record is from the annotation of a GenBank genome assembly. Lineage: Eukaryota; Metazoa; Chordata; Lepidosauria; Squamata; Lacertidae.
ACUGGGUACCUACUCCUCAUUCAGUAGAGCAUGAGACUCUAAAACUCAAGGUUGUGGGUUCGAGUCCCACAUUCAACA